Corvus hawaiiensis (hawaiian crow) is the source of this 399-nucleotide long non-coding RNA. RefSeq lists it as uncharacterized. The transcript is spliced from 3 exons. NCBI's taxonomy places the organism in Eukaryota, Metazoa, Chordata, Aves, Passeriformes, Corvidae. The record is from RefSeq and is a predicted model, not a curated record.
GUGAGACUAUGCCUCCAGGCACCAAAAGACCUCCAGCUGCCCAGCUUGUUGUUUUUUCACAGCUGCUAAUGACAGGACUCAAGAAAUUCUUGUUCACUUCCGACAAGGAUUUAGUCAUUGGAUGAAGCAAAUUCACAGCUCAGUUCACCUUGCCAAAAUACCAUUUUUGAGCUGGGCUACUGAUUUUAGGAGUCCUGUAGCACAGCCACGGUGAAGAUCAGAAUCGUGUUGUGAAUGCAUUACCUCAUUGCAUAUCUGCUGUGGCACUGAUGCAUAACAAGCAUGUGAAAUGAGAGGGUGACAGAGUGAGAGAACAUCUUCCAGAACUUUAGAUCUAAGUCCAUAAGGAUGGCAAAGUGUUCAUGCUUCAGCAGAGGAUUUCAGGAAAUUUUGUGUUUC